CAAGCUAACUGAGAAAACAAAUACUUUCGGUGCUCAGCUAAGAGAAAACUCCAUUAUGGUGGCUAACAUCUCCAAAAUUGUGGAGAUAAAUGCAGCAGAGAUUAAAGAGUGUAAAGAAAAGAUUCAGGCAGUGAAAAAAGAAAUGCCUCGUCACAUCAAAGAAAAUGAGGAGCUAAAAAAAAAGGAUAACAGCUGGAGAGGUACAGGAGGCGCUGGAACCUCAAAGUACACGGCCUCAAAGAAAAAGAUGAACGCAUUCGAGACAUUAUCAUAGCGAACCUGUCCAAGAUUGAACCACAGAGGGCUUCAUUUAUGGAAAGCGUGGUUGACACCGUUCACCGCCUUGGGAAAAGAGAGGAGGGGAAGCAGUGCCAAGUCAUUGUGCAGUUCACCAUGAGACACCACCAGGAUGAAUUCUGGAAGCUGUCCAAGAACUGAAAAAUCUGCAAAGACUUGGGGAUUCACUUCAAACAAGAUUUCUGCAAAGCCGACCGAGAGGCUCGUGCGGCUGCGUGGCCAAAGAUGGAGCAAGCCCGGGCUACAGGAAAGAAUGUGUACUUGAGAGGUCAUGUAGGGUACAUUAAUGGCAACAGGGUGGCACUAGAUUAGAGAAUUUAUAAAGAGCAACAGACUAUGAGCCUCUCUCUCCCAGGUAUUUGAGCCUUCCUUUGGAAAAGGGGUUUAAAUCAUUUUCAGCACCUUCAUGUUCAGUGCUCUGCUCAGGGCUCUUGUUUACACUAUUACCCCAGGUUCCUUGUUUUAGGCAUCAUAGUGAUUAAAGGGAAAAAAAGAGGUUUAAUUUUUUACCCCGAACUAAUACUCUGGUGUUCCUUUUUGAUGUGUUUCAGAAUACAGUUUAAGCAGAAAUCUCAAAUCUCUAGUUGGUAUGUUAUAGUACCAUUAAAUGAUGUUAGGCUAUCUCAAUGUUUCUUUUUUGAUAAACAUUUUUAUAUUAUAUGAUCCUGUUAAAUGGAGGUUGGUGCACUUUACCUUAAACUAAGCUUGAAGGUUAUGCUUUAGGUACAUAUGUGCCUGACUUUACUCUUGUUUUCCCCAAGUUUACAUCAAUAUCUACAUCCUUUUAAUCGCUGAUAUAAAUAUAGACGGACAAAAUUGUGUUGCAAAUUUUUAUUACUUCAAAAAGUGUUAGAUAGGGGCAUUACUUGAGUGUUUAAUCUUGAACAAGUACACACUUCUCAGUUAAAUUUAAACCUUUUUUUUUUUUUGCCUUUUUUCAAUUCUAAAUUCUCCUGUAUUUCUCUAAAUGCUAGGGGCCUUAGAGACUCUAUUACAAGAAAAUCAACCUUCUUAUUCUGUAAAAAUGAAAAAGCACAAUGUGUUCUCCUACAAGAAACUCAUUCGAAUAACACUGAUGACAAUUCUGGUCAAAUCAAUGGGGUGACAGAAUUAUAUUUAGUCACGGCACAAACAGAUCAGCAGGUGUGGCCAUACUCUUAGACAACUUCCAUGGGAGAAUUUUGACCACUGGAUAAUUUGUGUUUUUGAAGCAAAUGAGGAUUUUCUAAUUCUAGGAAACAUUUAUGGAUACAACAAUCUUAACCAGAACAAAAAAAUGAUUUCCAAAAUCACAUAGUCAGUCAAGGAUCUCUACCAAAGGUAUCCUACCAAAAACCUUAUUUUUGGUGGCGAUUUUAAUAUGGCUAUGGAUGAGUGGCUUGGUAUCCUUCAAAAUAAUAAAAUCAUUCUUAUAAUCCUGUUUUGCUUGACUUUUGUGGUGUGUUUAAUCUGAAAGACACAUGGGCCCUCAUUUAUCAAGCUUGCAUACGGCAGAAAACUUGCGUACGACAAUUUUGACGUGAGGAUCGGCAUUUAUCAAUCUGCAUGUGAGCGUACGCUACGACCAAAUCUCACGACAGGUCUGACAUCGUGUACGCAAGUUUGAGUCAGUGUGGAUCUGCAGUGCAGCAAAUGUCUGUCUCAAAAUAAUUGAUAUACAAACCUCAAACCUGUCACUUAGCACUAUCAGACAGAUUUCAUUAAAGAUUAAGACGCAAAUAAAAUAAAAUAAAUUUUGAAUGUCCUUAGUGAAUAGGCCUAUUUGAUAACUCUGCCCAGAACCACAGCCACAGAGCAGGGGCCUAUUCUACGAAGCAGGAUUACUGCUUAGCGAGGUAACUUCGAGGGUAAGUUCGGGGUUUCCUGUUGUACGACGCGGGUUCACUUUUUAGUGAGGCGAGUCUCCAUGGCAACGUAAGCUGAACGGGUUCCAGAUUGAACUCACCGGGUAUAAAAACCCCACCUGAUGACAAAUGAGCUCUCUAAAAAAAUGGCUUGUCUGUUCUUGGAGGAUCCUAUAGACCUCGGUGCUCGCAUUGUCCGAGGAGCACUCCGGCGCGCGAGAGUUUUCAGGGACCGCACAGACCCACUUACUUUUCCAGAUGACCACCUUUAUGAAAGGCUCAUAUGGCCUACAUAUCACACAAAAAAAGUAAAGACGAUAGGAAUGAACAAAUGAAUGAAUUCAUCUUGGAAAUGAAUUAGACAUGUCUGGUGCAUGUUAAAAGCGCAUGUUGAACAGUGCUAUUUCAGGGUGAUAAUGGCAUCAAAAAAUUUUUGCGCACUAUACUUACGCAUUGAGACUGUUGGCAAUUUUCUGCCAGCAUUCCUUCCGUGCUUUUGCAGCGGCGACGGUGUUGCUUUUGAGGUUUAUGAUAGAUUUGAAUUCUUCAUACUUUCUCAUGAUCGUCUCCUGCUCCUCGUUUGUAAAGUACGCGGUCCUUCACUCUCCAGCCUGCUCUGAUGCUUCAGACUGGUCCAUGUUCGCGAUUGGUCAGAUGCGGCGGGCUCCGCCUUACAUGUGUGCACGCGCUCAUAGCAAAGCUGGAUAUACUUAUAACCAGCGCCGUAAGACCAUUUAGCGAAACCGCUGGCUACCACGCUAAGUUGAGCGAGGUAGCUCCAAGGCUACCUCGCUAAGUUGAACUUGCUUCGUAGAAUAGGCCCCAGGAGCACCGUUUUAACAUUGCGCACACACGCGCCACUGUGGAGCACUGCGUUUGACUCCUAAAAGGCAGGUGUCUCUCUCUUGGCCCAGCAGCAGGGACGUUGUUGUACACUCCUGAAAGGUUCUGUACAGAGGAGACAGGGCCUUAUCGAUGGAUUCUGAUGCAAAGUAUAAGUUUUAGAAAGUGCUCUUGCUAUUUAUUCAGUAAUAAAAAUCAAAUAGAAUUCCAUAAAAAAUGUGCCUCAGGGGCAGCAACACACCGUUUGGUGAGGUUAAGAAUUAUUUUUGUUCAGCCUCUGUCAGACUCUCCAGUCUGCUCUACAUUACAAAGAAGCAACAAAUUAAAACUAAAUACUUUCAAUAAUAGGAGCAACGUACCCUAUGUCAUGGCGAUAAAAAAAUAUGAGGCAUGUAUGAAAUAUUAAUUAAUCAUCAUGAGCAACUUAUUGACUAAUGAUUUACUCAAACUGCUGUCCGCUAUUCCGCAGCAGCGCUGUUCACCGCCACCAAUAAUCCUGCUCCAGACAGGAGUUUUCUGGAUUGCUUUUAUACCAGUUUUGAUGCUUCCAAAGAGAAAAUCCUUCUAAGUUUCCACCACAGAUGCGAGGAUAUCCACUUUCAGCUCGGAAAAGUUUCGCAUCUUUCUAAUAUUUCUCCUCUUUCAUGUUUGACCUCAGUGGGCGAGGCUUCUGAACCACGAAUAUUUAAGGGCGUAAACAUGUUAAUGAUGAUCGAUUUCAGCCGCCGCAUUUAUCAUUUAUCAUACGUACGCUGGGAUUGGUCAGAUACGAACCCUUUCAUACAUCUCACAUGUGUCCUAUCGUACAAUGAAUCCUGCACUCAGAUCUGCGCAAUGUUGAUAAAUGAGGGCCAUGGCGUUUUGAUAGUCUAGAUACCCAAACUUACACGUGGUUCUAACCAGAUGGUUUGACUGAAUCCAGAACUGAUUUUUGGUUGGUGUCAGAUAUUAGGCCUGGGCUUAACUCAACCUCUUCAAUUUCAGCUGCACCUUUAACAGAUCAUAGCACAAUUAAACUUAAUUUUAUAUCCUCAAACACACAUUUUAAAAAAGGGUAUUGGAAAAUUAAUUAAAAUUUUCUGAAAAAUGAACCUUUUUGUCAAAAAGUAAUUAAUGCUAUAAAUAAUGCAAUUACAGAUAGUAACAUUAAAACUAAAACUAGAGAGAAGUGGGAGUAUUUGAAACAUCAAGUACGCCAGAUUUCUAUCUCAACAAGAAAGACAAUAAGCAGGGAUAGUAAGAAAAAAGAACUGGAAAUCAUGAAAGAAAUCAACAGUAUCUGUAAUAAACCAUCUGCAAAUGAGAAUAGCAGACAAAAAAAUCAUUAGAUAACAUCUACAUUUCUAAAGCCAGGGGAGCUUAUAUUAGAUCGAGAGCAAAAUGGAUGGAAGAAGGAGAGAGGAGCUCAGCAUAUUUUUGUAGAUUGGAAAAGAGAAGACAAGAGUGGAAUGCUGUAAGAACUUUACUGAUAGAUAGUCAAGAAUGCACUGACCCAAAGUUAAUCUCUAAGGAAAUCUUCAAAUUUUACAGUAAAUUGUAUUCGUCCUCUUAUUCAUCCCCAGAUGCUGAUGCC
Molecule: long non-coding RNA, 4557 nt
Filed under: Xyrichtys novacula (pearly razorfish)
Lineage: Eukaryota; Metazoa; Chordata; Actinopteri; Labriformes; Labridae
Source: RNAcentral